UAACCUACCUCUGACUGGAGCAUAGCCCGAAGAAAUUCGGAUUAAUACUCCAUAAUACUGCGAGAAGGCAUCUUUUUUCAGUUAAAGCUUCGGCGGUCAGAGAUGGGCAUGCGUAACAUUAGCUGGUUGGUGAGGUAACAGCUCACCAAGGCUACGAUGUUUAGGGGGUCUGAGAGGAUGGUCCCCCACACUGGUACUGAGACACGGACCAGACUCCUACGGGAGGCAGCAGUGAGGAAUAUUGGUCAAUGGGCGAAAGCCUGAACCAGCCAUGCCGCGUGAAGGAUGACGGCCCUAUGGGUUGUAAACUUCUUUUAUACGGGAAGAAACCCCUCUACGUGUAGGGGGCUGACGGUACCGUACGAAUAAGCAUCGGCUAACUCCGUGCCAGCAGCCGCGGUAAUACGGAGGAUGCAAGCGUUAUCCGGAUUUAUUGGGUUUAAAGGGUGCGUAGGCGGAAAAUUAAGUCGGUGGUGAAAUCCUGCAGCUUAACUGUAGAAUUGUCAUUGAUACUGGUUUUCUUGAAUACAGUUGAGGUAGGCGGAAUGAGUAAUGUAGCGGUGAAAUGCUUAGAUAUUACUCAGAACACCAAUUGCGAAGGCAGCUUACUAAACUGUGAUUGACGCUGAGGCACGAAAGCGUGGGGAGCGAACAGGAUUAGAUACCCUGGUAGUCCACGCCGUAAACGAUGAUCACUCGUUGUUGGCAAUACACCGUCAGCGACUGAGCGAAAGUAUUAAGUGAUCCACCUGGGGAGUACGAUUGCAAGAUUGAAACUCAAAGGAAUUGACGGGGGCCCGCACAAGCGGAGGAACAUGUGGUUUAAUUCGAUGAUACGCGAGGAACCUUACCUGGGCUUAAAUGCAUAACGACGGAUCGGGAAACUGGUCUUUCUUCGGACGGAAUGCAAGGUGCUGCAUGGCUGUCGUCAGCUCGUGCCGUGAGGUGUCGGGUUAAGUCCCAUAACGAGCGCAACCCUCAUCAUUAGUUGCCAGCGGGUAAUGCCGGGGACUCUAAUGAAACUGCCGGUGUAAACCGAGAGGAAGGCGAGGAUGACGUCAAGUCAGCACGGCCCUUAUGUCCAGGGCUACACACGUGUUACAAUGGUCAGUACAAAGGGCAGCUACCAGGCAACUGGAUGCUAAUCUCAAAAGCUGGUCACAGUUCGGAUCGGAGUCUGCAACUCGACUUCGUGAAGUUGGAUUCGCUAGUAAUCGCGCAUCAGCCAUGGCGCGGUGAUACGUUCCCGGGCCUUGUACACACCGCCCGUCAAGCCAUG
RNAcentral lists this ribosomal RNA (1279 nucleotides) under uncultured organism. Its description in RNAcentral is "bacterial SSU rRNA". It matches the Rfam family "Bacterial small subunit ribosomal RNA", at positions 122 to 1406 of the family's 1533-position model. The record is from RNAcentral.